ACCUGGCUGGCUCGGUGGGUGGAGCAUACGACUCUUGAUCCUGGGGUUGUGAGUUUGAGCCCCAUGUUGGGUA
Molecule: transfer RNA, 73 nt
Filed under: Mustela putorius furo (domestic ferret)
Lineage: Eukaryota; Metazoa; Chordata; Mammalia; Carnivora; Mustelidae
Rfam family: tRNA
About the family: Transfer RNA (tRNA) molecules are approximately 80 nucleotides in length. Their secondary structure includes four short double-helical elements and three loops (D, anti-codon, and T loops).
Source: Rfam by way of RNAcentral